GACGUAGGGCGCGAGCGUUGUCCGGAUUUAUUGGGCGUAAAGAGCUCGUAGGCGGUUUGUCGCGUCUGCCGUGAAAGUCCGGGGCUCAACUCCGGAUCUGCGGUGGGUACGGGCAGACUAGAGUGAUGUAGGGGAGACUGGAAUUCCUGGUGUAGCGGUGGAAUGCGCAGAUAUCAGGAGGAACACCGGUGGCGAAGGCGGGUCUCUGGGCAGUAACUGACGCUGAGGAGCGAAAGCGUGGGGAGCGAACAGGA
RNAcentral lists this ribosomal RNA (254 nucleotides) under uncultured bacterium. RNAcentral describes it as "partial 16S ribosomal RNA". It matches the Rfam family "Bacterial small subunit ribosomal RNA", at positions 524 to 777 of the family's 1533-position model. The record is from RNAcentral.